Molecule: ribosomal RNA, 470 nt
Filed under: uncultured bacterium
Lineage: Bacteria
Description: SSU rRNA
Rfam family: Bacterial small subunit ribosomal RNA
Source: RNAcentral
AGGAUAAACGCUGGCGGCGUGCCUAAUCAAUGCGAGUCGAACGGGCACCUUCGGGUGUCAGUGGCGUCCGGGUGAGUAACGCGUAGCUAACCUGCCCACAGGUGGGGGAUACCCGCCAGAAAUGGCGGCUAAUACCGCAUAGCGUGACGAGGGGGUGACCUUCGGCACGAAAGCAGCGAUGUGUCUGUGGAGGGGGCUGCGUCCGAUUAGCUGGUCGGUGGGGUAACGGCCUACCGAGGCGACGAUCGGUAGCUGGUCUGAGAGGAUGGUCAGCCACACUGGGACUGAGACAUGGUCCAGAGCUCUACGGGGUUUAGCAUGAAGGGAUAUUGCGCAAUGGGCGAAAGUCUGACGCAGCAACGCCGCGUGUGGGACGACGCCUCUCGGGGUGUAAACCACUUUUUCCCAGGGAAGAAGGACGUGACGGUACCUGGGGAAGAAGCCUUGGCUAAGUACGUGCCAGCAGCCGC